Non-coding RNA from Caenorhabditis elegans, 21 nucleotides. NCBI's taxonomy places the organism in Eukaryota, Metazoa, Nematoda, Chromadorea, Rhabditida, Rhabditidae. The record is from Ensembl.
UACCCAUGUUUCAUCACAAGA